CCUACGGGAGGCAGCAGUCGAGAAUUUUUCACAAUGGACGAAAGUCUGAUGGAGCGACGCCGCGUGGAGGAUGAAGGUUUUCGGAUUGUAAACUCCUGUCACUGCAGAACAAGGGUAUGCCAGUUAACAGCCGGCGUAUUUGAUGGUAUGCGGAGAGGAGGGGACGGCUAACUCUGUGCCAGCAGCCGCGGUAAU
RNAcentral lists this ribosomal RNA (195 nucleotides) under uncultured Verrucomicrobiales bacterium. Its description in RNAcentral is "partial 16S ribosomal RNA". It matches the Rfam family "Bacterial small subunit ribosomal RNA", at positions 338 to 524 of the family's 1533-position model. The record is from RNAcentral. Lineage: Bacteria; Pseudomonadati; Verrucomicrobiota; Verrucomicrobiia; Verrucomicrobiales.